CUGGCCGCAGCUUACCAUGCAAGUCGAGCGGGGGAGGGUAGCUUGCUACCUGACCUAGCGGCGGACGGGUGAGUAAUGCUUAGGAAUCUGCCUAUUAGUGGGGGACAACAUUCCGAAAGGAAUGCUAAUACCGCAUACGCCCUACGGGGGAAAGCAGGGGAUCUUCGGACCUUGCGCUAAUAGAUGAGCCUAAGUCAGAUUAGCUAGUUGGUGGGGUAAAGGCCUACCAAGGCGACGAUCUGUAGCGGGUCUGAGAGGAUGAUCCGCCACACUGGGACUGAGACACGGCCCAGACUCCUACGGGAGGCAGCAGUGGGGAAUAUUGGACAAUGGGCGAAAGCCUGAUCCAGCCAUGCCGCGUGUGUGAAGAAGGCCUUUUGGUUGUAAAGCACUUUAAGCGAGGAGGAGGCUACUUGGAUUAAUACUCUAGGAUAGUGGACGUUACUCGCAGAAUAAGCACCGGCUAACUCUGUGCCAGCAGCCGCGGUAAUACAGAGGGUGCGAGCGUUAAUCGGAUUUACUGGGCGUAAAGCGUGCGUAGGCGGCUUUUUAAGUCGGAUGUGAAAUCCCUGAGCUUAACUUAGGAAUUGUAUUCGAUACUGGGAAGCUAGAGUAUGGGAGAGGAUGGUAGAAUUCCAGGUGUAGCGGUGAAAUGCGUAGAGAUCUGGAGGAAUACCGAUGGCGAAGGCAGCCAUCUGGCCUAAUACUGACGCUGAGGUACGAAAGCAUGGGGAGCAAACAGGAUUAGAUACCCUGGUAGUCCAUGCCGUAAACGAUGUCUACUAGCCGUUGGGGGCCUUUGAGGCUUUAGUGGCGCAGCUAACGCGAUAAGUAGACCGCCUGGGGGAGUACGGUCGCAAGACUAAAACUCAAAGGAAUUGACGG
RNAcentral lists this ribosomal RNA (885 nucleotides) under uncultured Gammaproteobacteria bacterium. RNAcentral describes it as "bacterial SSU rRNA". It matches the Rfam family "Bacterial small subunit ribosomal RNA", at positions 36 to 916 of the family's 1533-position model. Lineage: Bacteria; Pseudomonadati; Pseudomonadota; Gammaproteobacteria. The record is from RNAcentral.